AUGGCAUCAAAGUCUCAUCUUUGUCUCUUGGCAUGCACUCUCCUCUUCAUCCUCCUUUCUCUCCCCUCCCAUGCAACUUCAUCCGAAACCCACAACAAAAAAACAUCAUCACCAUUUGAGUUCCUUGAACAUCUUAAGGGGUUCCAAAAUGGUGACAAGGUCCCAGGAAUCCAAGACCUCAAAAAAUACCUUGGAAGGUUUGGUUACUUAAGCAGCAACAAUAACCAAACCACUGAUGAUUUUGACGAUCAAUUGGCGUCGGCCAUCAAAACCUACCAACUCAACUACAACCUCAAAACCACUGGAAUAUUAGACGCUCAAACAGUAUCCAAUAUGAUGAUGCCACGUUGUGGCGUCCCAGAUAUCAUCAAUGGUACCUCCUCUAUGCGAUCAGGCAAGCAAAGUCACCCUCCUCCUCACCACCAUCACAAGGGACACACAGUUGCUCAUUAUACUUUCUUCCCUGGAAAGCCAAAAUGGCCAGCCUCUAAGUACCACCUCACCUACGCUUUUCUUCGGGGCACCCCGACCGCGGCGAAGGGCCCAGUUGCACGUGCUUUUAAUACGUGGGCUGCCCACACACAGUUCAAGUUCAGCCAGGCUCGAAGGAAUAAGAAGCCGGAUCUGACGGUGAGUUUUCACCGGCGUAGCCAUGGAGAUGGGCAUCCAUUUGAUGGCCCAGGAGGGAUCCUAGCGCAUUCUUUUGCGCCGAAAGAUGGGAGAUUUCACUAUGACGCUGAUGAGAAGUGGUCUGUGGGCGUUGUGAGGGGUGCUUUUCACUUGGAGACUGUGGCUUUGCAUGAAAUUGGUCACCUCCUAGGGCUUGGCCAUAGCUCUGUUCGGACAGCUAUUAUGUACCCGACUAUAAGCUCUGGAGAAACCAAAGGCUUGAACAGGGAUGAUAUUCAAGGAAUUAAAGCAUUAUACCACGCUUGA
This 936-nucleotide long non-coding RNA is filed under the name Prunus dulcis (almond). RNAcentral's name for it is "sRNA ncRNA". The record is from RNAcentral. Lineage: Eukaryota; Viridiplantae; Streptophyta; Magnoliopsida; Rosales; Rosaceae.